AUGGGCAUGCUGUUCGAGCUGCUCCGCAACUACGCCGGGUUCUACCGCAAGAUCCAGGAGGACAUCGAGGCUAACCUCGCCGAGCCCGACGUGGAACGAAGGGAGGGCGGCGAGGUGUUUGCGACCAAGGUGGCGCUGAAGCUCGAGCGGAGCCUCUCGGACCUGAAGCAGUUCAAGAAGAUGGCCUCGCCGUCCGUCAGAGACGAGGACAUCAAGGAGUUCGCCGGGAAACUCUUCUAA
This 240-nucleotide ribosomal RNA is filed under the name Triticum aestivum (bread wheat). RNAcentral describes it as "partial small subunit ribosomal RNA". Lineage: Eukaryota; Viridiplantae; Streptophyta; Magnoliopsida; Poales; Poaceae. The record is from RNAcentral.